GUGGGGAAUUUUGGACAAUGGGCGAAAGCCUGAUCCAGCCAUGCCGCGUGCAGGAUGAAGGCCUUCGGGUUGUAAACUGCUUUUGUACGGAACGAAAAGACUCCUUCUAAUAAAGGGGGUCCAUGACGGUACCGUAAGAAUAAGCACCGGCUAACUACGUGCCAGCAGCCGCGGUAAUACGUAGGGUGCAAGCGUUAAUCGGAAUUACUGGGCGUAAAGCGUGCGCAGGCGGUUAUGUAAGACAGAGGUGAAAUCCCCGGGCUCAACCUGGGAACUGCCUUUGUGACUGCAUAGCUGGAGUGCGGCAGAGGGGGAUGGAAUUCCGCGUGUAGCAGUGAAAUGCGUAGAUAUGCGGAGGAACACCGAUGGCGAAGGCAAUCCCCUGGGCCUGCACUGACGCUCAUGCACGAAAGCGUGGGGAGCAAACAGGAUUAGAAACCCUAGUAGUCC
RNAcentral lists this ribosomal RNA (450 nucleotides) under uncultured bacterium. Its description in RNAcentral is "partial 16S ribosomal RNA". It matches the Rfam family "Bacterial small subunit ribosomal RNA", at positions 354 to 796 of the family's 1533-position model. The record is from RNAcentral.